GCCUGAGUGGCUCAGUCGGUUGGGCAUCCAACUUUGGCUCAGGUCAUGAUCUCACGGUCCGUGGGUUCGAGCCCUGCCUCGGGCU
Molecule: transfer RNA, 85 nt
Filed under: Felis catus (domestic cat)
Lineage: Eukaryota; Metazoa; Chordata; Mammalia; Carnivora; Felidae
Rfam family: tRNA
About the family: Transfer RNA (tRNA) molecules are approximately 80 nucleotides in length.
Source: Rfam by way of RNAcentral